Molecule: transfer RNA, 91 nt
Filed under: Patescibacteria group bacterium
Lineage: Bacteria
Description: tRNA-Ser
Rfam family: tRNA
About the family: Transfer RNA (tRNA) molecules are approximately 80 nucleotides in length. Their secondary structure includes four short double-helical elements and three loops (D, anti-codon, and T loops). Further hydrogen bonds mediate the characteristic L-shaped molecular structure. tRNAs have two regions of fundamental functional importance: the anti-codon, which is responsible for specific mRNA codon recognition, and the 3' end, to which the tRNAs corresponding amino acid is attached (by aminoacyl-tRNA synthetases). tRNAs cope with the degeneracy of the genetic code in two manners: having more than one tRNA (with a specific anti-codon) for a particular amino acid; and 'wobble' base-pairing, i.e. permitting non-standard base-pairing at the 3rd anti-codon position.
Source: RNAcentral
GGAGAGGUACCCAAGAGGCUGAAGGGGGGAGAUUGCUAAUCUCCUAGUGGUGUAAAAGCCAGCGAGGGUUCGAAUCCCUCUCUCUCCGCCA